CGCAAGUAGUGGCGAGCGAACGCGGACUAGCCCAAACCCAAGUAGUUACGGCUGCUUGGGGGUUGUAGGACUGUGAUGUGGACUGUACAAAAGAACUGGAAUGAUUUGGGAAAGUCAGCCAGAGAGGGUGAGAGCCCCUUACAGGUAAAGUUGUACUACCUAACAGUAUCCUGAGUAGGGCGGAACCGGAGAAAUUCCGUCUGAAUUUGCCAGCACCAUCUGGUAAGGCUAAAUACUCCUGAGAAACCGAUAGUGAACCAGUACCGUGAGGGAAAGGUGAAA
Molecule: ribosomal RNA, 282 nt
Filed under: uncultured Symbiodinium
Lineage: Eukaryota; Dinophyceae; Suessiales; Symbiodiniaceae
Description: partial Bacterial large subunit ribosomal RNA
Rfam family: Bacterial large subunit ribosomal RNA
Source: RNAcentral